Molecule: RNA transcript, 2987 nt
Organism: Abrus precatorius (Indian licorice)
Lineage: Eukaryota; Viridiplantae; Streptophyta; Magnoliopsida; Fabales; Fabaceae
Gene name: sterol 3-beta-glucosyltransferase UGT80B1
Exons: 10
Source: RefSeq, a predicted model, not a curated record
AUGUGUUGUUGUUCGUAGUUUGUAACAGGGAAAUGGAGAGAAGGAAGCCGAAAGCAGUUUUCAUGGCCUUCGGCACUAAAGGCGAUGUCUUCCCUAUUGCCGCCAUUGCUGCAGCUUUUGCUUGUGACCAGAAACAAUACGAUGUGAUGUUAAUAACUCACUCCGCACACCAGAGUUUAAGUCAUCACUUGGCUGAAAAGCAUGUUCAAUAUUGCCCUGUUUCAUCGCCUCCAGUUCUCUGUGCUGAUCAAAAUAAUUAUACUGAUGGUUUGAACUAUCAAUUUGGUUCUAAUUAUAAAAUGUGGACUGCUAAUUAUGAGGGGAUGAAAUAUAUUACUAAUGAGUCUUUGAUUUUAUCAGGGAUAGCAGAGUCAUCCUUUUUCUUGCAGAAAAGGAAAAUUACAAUAGAUCAUAGACGAGAAUGCUAUUCUUUAUUUGAAAGGAUAUUUGGAGAUGGCCCAAGCUUGGACGGUGAUCUUAUUGUGAUAAAUUUUUUUGCUUUGGUAUUCUAAGUUGAAACUGUAGUCAAGAUGGACUUUUUUUGACAAGUUUAUGAUAUCUUUGGGGGAUGAGGUUUGAUUGAUGCUAAGACUUGAUGGCAAUUGAUUCUUAAAAAUGUCUUGAUUACUUCUUGGGAAGUGCUGAAUAAUUUUUAUAAGACUGCGUUUGUGUUCAAGGAAACACCUAACACUACUGGAAUAGAAAAUAGAAUCACCAAUCAUAUUCUAGUACUAAAUAUGGUGGGACGGAGUUUGCAGUAAGUGUUCCUGAUAGAAUGUUAUAAUAAUAUUAUUUUUCCAUGAAAUAACAUUAAGUGGAAUCAUCUUGUGUACUUAUGAAAUUUCUACACUAAGAUGUUAAGUGAUCUGGUAAAAUAGAUUUUCGUGAUGGUUCAGGAAGGAUGGAGCCUUGCAGAGGUUUUUCAUGUCCACUGCAUUGUAGCUGCUCCAUAUGUUGUUCCCUACAGGUACUUUCAAGUUCAUCCCCACGAAUGAUAUCAAACAUUUGGGAAUUUGGGUACAGCUUUAUACUUGUUUGGUGGCAAGCAAUUACACUUCUGUAAGAGCAUCAAUGGUCAUGAACUUCUCCUAACAUUUAGAACUCAGAUAGUUGAGGUUUCCUUAAUAAUAAAACAUAUAAUCUUAGAAAAUUAGUAAAUACCCAAUUGGGAUUGAUUGACAGAGUUAUCUUGAAUUAUUUAUUAGUUUCACCUGUUAAUUUUUACUUUGAUUGCAAGUGUAGGCACAAAAUACACAACUCUAUUCUGUUGGGAAAGAAAAUUGAAUUACAAUGUUCAAGUGAAAAGCAUUAUCUCUCAUUUCCUUGCCUCAAAAUACAACAUGCUUUCCAUAAAAAAUGAUUGUGACGAUGUGAAUGUAAAAUGUGUCAUCAAGUUGAUGAUUGACUAUAAUGUUGGAAGGUACAACACAUUUUGAAUUUUCGAUAAUUGCAUAAUGGAUUUUCUGUGCAGUGCACCUGCAACAUUUGAAAGUCAUUUCCAAAGAGAACUUCCUCUUUUGUAUAAAUAUCUCGUUGAUGCUCCUUCUGGUCUGCUGGAAGGAUGUGAUUCAUUGGAUGUGGCCUCUUUUCACAGAAAGUUGGGGAUUAUGGAGAAAUGAUGACUUGCAUAUUAGUCCACAUCCUUUUACUGUUUGUUUCCUAUACUUUUUUUGCGGCUUCUAGAAAAAAAUAAUUUCUAUCCUAAUAUUCUGUGUUUCAAACAAUAUGCUACCUGAGUUAGAUUGCUAUAGUAGACAUGUACCCUUGCAGAGAAGUAUGGGGUACCGUCAUUCUUUUGAAUUCACAGCGGCACUUCUUUUUUUGGUGAUUUCAGGAUCCAGUAACAGGCAUUCCUACUUGGCAUGAUAGACCACAAUCUCCUCUUUUGAUGUAUGGUUUUAGUAAAGAAGUUGUUGAAUGUCCUGCAUAUUGGCCAUCAAAAGUGCGGGUUUGUGGGUUUUGGUUUCUCCCGCCUGAAUGGCAAUUUACAUGUGAGAAAUGCAGAGAAAUUUCCGUAUAUUCAUCAGGACAUCAAUAUGCUAUAGAUGACUUAUGUCCCGGUCAUUUAGAGUUGCAGAACUUUAUAAAAACUACACCAAUUUUUAUCGGAUUGAGUUCUAUUGGAAGCAUGGGUUUUUUGAAAGACCCUUGUGCAUUUAUUUCUGUUCUUCAGACUGUUCUGAACUCCACAAAUUACAGAUUUAUUCUAUUUACGGCUGGAUAUGAACCCUUAGAAUCAACUGUUCGUACCAUUGCUGCUGAAGCUUCAUUUGGGCAGAAAAAUUGGAGUGAAGAUUGUGUCCUUCUUUGUAACGGGCGACUGCUGUGUUUUUCUGGUUCUGUACCAUAUGAUUGGCUUUUCCCAAAGUGUGCUGCUGUAAUUCACCAUGGAGGCAGGUAGGAGAAUUCAUAUUCUGAUCCCGUGGCUGUUUUGAUAUUAUCACCAAAUUGAAGCAUUCAUGAGGGAUGCUUACUAAUAUAUUUUUGCAUGGAAUGCCUAUCUGUAAAUAGCGGAACUACUGCAGCUGCGUUACAGUCAGGCACACCACAGGUAGUAUGCCCUUUCAUGCUAGAUCAGUUUUACUGGGCGGAGAGAAUGUAUUGGCUUGGUGUUUCGCCUGAACCACUCAAUAGAAAUCAUUUGGUCCCUCAUAAAUAUGAUCAUACAAGUGUCCAGGAAGCUGCACAUGUGCUAUCACUUGCAAUACAUGAUGCAUUAUCAUCAACAAUCAAAGCACGGGCUGCAGAAAUUGCCCAAAGAAUAUUGCUUGAGGAUGGCGUGAAGGAGGCAAUUAAGUACCUCAAGGAAGAAUUGGGUUUAAAUUGAGAUAGUGAAGGGAUUGAAAUGUUGCAAGAAGAAUGCACUAAUUUUUUCCUUGCGAUUGUAUUAUGUCACCAUUCACCAAUUCAGCUCAAUAUAUAUUUUGUCCUUUCUAUUGUAAUGGAUCUAUUAUUGUAUAUGAUCGUUCUGAAAAGAUAUUAAAGAC